UGUGAUUAUAGGUACACAUAUAGAAAAUGUGAUGGAUUGAUGUAUAUUUAAUAUUCAGUUCGUAUCAUUUUUAGUACAUUCGCUGUGUUAUAUAUUUACAACGUCUCAAAGAUAACUGAAAAUCAAUACAUGUGUUAUUAUAUUUGUAUGAUAACUUCACUAUAUAAAGAUUCUGAUACCAAAAAGUAAUUUGUGUGCAAUGUUUAUUAGAUAUUUUCUGUACAUGUUAAAAUUAAUAUUUAUUUACUAU
This is a non-coding RNA of Cinara cedri, 250 nucleotides long. The record is from the annotation of a GenBank genome assembly. NCBI's taxonomy places the organism in Eukaryota, Metazoa, Arthropoda, Insecta, Hemiptera, Aphididae.